AGGAGGCGGACCAACCGCCCCGGGAGCCGAGGUGUCUGCGGCGGGAACGGCGGUCAUAGUGGGGCUGGGGUGGCCACAGAAAUUCUCCGGAGCCCAAGGGAAGGGCAAGCCAAGCGCCGGGGCGCUUGUUUCAAGGAGCCAGAGUGACGCGCGUCGUUGGAGCGGGAAGCCGGGCCCCCUGGCGUCCGCCCGUUGCGGCGUCUUUGGGGUGGUUCCUCCGCGCGCGCCUUUCGUUACUCUGCCCGCUUUUUCUGGGCUUCCUGAGGGCAGGGAUGGGAGUCCUGCCGCUACUCUGCCCGCCAAGCCCGCCUGCUGUCCUGCCUGCGUGCACGUUUGCGAGCUCAAGAAGUCGUCUGCCCACGACGUCUGCCGUGGGGCAUCACCCUCGAGCUGGGAGUGGGCCCAGCGGGCCUCGAGGGAACUCUCAGAUAAUGUUACUUACUACUGCUUAGUCUACAGGACCUCCACUUUCAGAGAAGGGUCUUCCUGAGAAUGUAUCUUCAUGACAUGAUGGAAAAUUUGGAAAGCAAACUAAUCAAAAAACUAUGUUCAGAGCCAAUUAAAAGGGUUAAAAGUUGGAUACAGAGAUAAGUUUUGGGAGAUGAAGCUGGGAGUUGAAAUCCAGCAUGGAAAACAAGAUGAGCUGCAGUUCCCAGGCUGCAGGGGUAUUCACAUUUUUUAUCGAGUUGAAACAGUUUUUUUUUUCUUUUGACUUCAAUAGCUUUUGUAAACUUGGGUAUACUUUGCUUAUGGUUGUCAGGAAGGAGAACAUUAGAAUGUACAGAAGUGUCUCAACCUGGCCUACAGUAUCAGUGCUCUUACCACCCCUAUUGGUGUCUUGUUCAGAUUUUUAAGGUCCCACUUCAUUAUCAGUUUAAUUCAUGUUCACAGUUUUAACAUCACAGCUAACCAUAUUUUUAGUAGAUGGUCUGGAACCCCUUGCCUGAGUUAUAGGCAGAGUUUUUCACACUUUUCUCUUGGAAAAUCUUCUCAUCACCAUUAACAAAUGCUAACUAAUUAAUUUACUUAGCCAGUAGCUGUUUCUCAAUAGGCCAGCUUUGAGGCAUUUUCAUAGCAUUAUUUUUAUUUUGCAUCUUAAUUUUUUUGGAUGUGAACCAAUGCCAUUUUAAAUUGCUGUUGGAGACAUUUUGUCAAAGGAUUCCUUUUUAGUUCCUUCAUCUUCGUCAUCUGCUUCAUCUUCUUCAUAAGUAUCAUUCCCUGAUAUUUCUGUUACCUUAAAAUAUUUGCAUCUAUACUUUUUCAUGGUUUUUCAAUCCUAUGUUUCUUUUCUGGUCUUUGCAGCAGGUUCUUUCUUGAAUAGGAACAGCUCCUCUAUAAUUCCUCUGGACCUCUCUUCUUGAGAUACAACUAGAAGAAGGUGAUUAUUGGGACAAAUUAUAGCCCUUGUCACUCAGUUGGUCUCAGGACUGCAACUACUACUUAUCCCCCUCUCCCUCCAUUGCCCACUUCAAAUUCUACUCUCCUUCAGCUAUCUUUGCCACAGGUCUUAGUAGUUUACCUGGGUGUAACCCAAAUCCUUAAUUUCCUGAUUAGGAAGUAUAUUUAUAUAUAGAAAUGACAUGCAUCUCACUCUGGGAUUGUUGUACAUGUCCUUCCAUAGUUACAAUUAAGUAUCAAAAGGCUCUCAAGUUCACAUACAUUUUUCCUCACCCAUUGUGUGAAAGCAGUCCUUUUACUCCUUAUUGAUCAGUUACCCUGCCAAGAUGGGAACUCCUCUUCUUGCCUGCUGGUACCUGGACAUGAAAAGUCCAAAGUGCCCAAAUAGCUAUAGCUUAUAGUUCAAUGAGACCCUUAGCAAAAAAAAAAGCAUCCGCUUUGGAAGCUAGGACUUCUAAACCUUCAAAGCCCAGAGUUGUAAGAAUAGGAACAGAGGUGUAAGAAUACAUUCCCUAAUGAGUCAGUAGGAGUGAUGUUAAGUGGGGACCACUUCUGCUUCCCCUGCUUUUGGUCCCAGUCCAGGACCAUACCUAGAUCUCUGAUUUAUUGUGUAUGCUGCAUCCUAAAGGAUGACACUUCACUGUUGGCAAAAUAUUCAGAGGCACCUUCAGUAGGCUUCCCAGUGAUCUAUCAGGCUGGCUGCUCUGGAAAGCACACCCAAUAGAUCCCUUGAUCAUGAGCUCACACUACUACCUUUACUAUGAAGUGGCUCACCUGUUUGGAUGCUAUGUUGAAUUGGAUCCCAUGCCUAUGUCUGAGUCCUUCUUUAAGCCCCUGGAUAAUGAUAUGGGCUGAGGCCCUUCAGACAAAAAGUCAUACCCAGAAUAAGUAGCCCUAUGAGAUUGAACCACAAGCCACUUCGGGAAUCGGGAAUCCAUGUUACUGAAUUAACAUCAAGUGGCUAAUUUAUCUCUCAAGUAUUAAAGCCAUAUCAGGGAUGCAAUGUCAGUCUCUGCUGCUAGCAAAUUAGACUUUGAAAGGCAGAAGUAGCUAUAAGAUUGGCCUUGGUCAGUGGGAACUCAUGCUGUUUUAUUCAUGUGUUGCCUCCAUCUCUGCAAACAUGGCCAUUCCAUUUAUGUGCCAUUUUGGAAUGGACCAUGACAAAGCUUGGCUAACAUCAACUGGUAGAAUUCUUUUAUCUAUUUGAUUUUUUCAGUUUCUCUUUCAUUAGUGAUGGUGCUUUAUGGUCAGAAUAAACAUGAGAUAACAAAAAUCUUCACCCUUUGUGCUCACUCUCUUAUGUACAUCCACAUGCCUGUAUUCAGACCUCUUUUUCUCUAACCUUCAUCUUUUCCUUCAGGAUCCUGACUAGCUGGCCAGGCCACUAACAUUGCCAAGGAAUCUGUACAGAUUCUCAGUACCAAGUCACUUCUCCUUCCACAUAAAGUUGCCUAUGAGGAAGAUUUUUCCUCUAAGCUGCCUUUCAGGGUGACCCCUUAAUGUAUACUUUCCACUCAUAUACCAAACCAAUCCAUUAAUAAUCAAGUUUGACCUUUUUUCUUCUCCUCCUAUGGCAUGUGCAGCCUGAGGAAGGGGUGCAGAUGCCACCAUCAUGAGAAAUAUAGAGGGGUCUGUGCUACUAAUUAAUUCAUGCAGCUUACUCAAACCCUCUUGUCCUUUUGGUGUUUGAUUUUGAAUGCAUCAUUUCUGUAUUAUGCUGGGCCCAUUAACUUUAUAACUGAGCUCAUGAUGGACACUUUUAGACACAUGAUAACCUUUAACCCACAGUCAAGCUUUCUGUCUCUAUGAGGGUCUAAUACCAUAUGAGGAGCUGUUUCUUGAAAGGAGUAAAAUCCUGUGCUGCAGAUGGCGUGGCCUUUCUCCUAGAUUCCAGAGUCCUAUAUUCUGAUCUCCCAUUGAGACUUGCUGUAAACUCCACACUGACUGCUGCAGUGCCCUUUGCUGCUCCUGGUUGCACUUGGAGCAUACAUCCCUCCAUGUCUCCCAGGAUAUGAGCUAGAGGAAUAUUCCCACGUGUGGAAUUUGUUGCUUCCAGAGCCCAAAGAGGCCCAUUAGACAUCUUGCUUCAUUAUAGUAGGAGAUGCAAUAUGCAAAAGUUUGUCUUUUACAAAAGAGAGGUUGUCUUCGCAUGCCACUGACUACUAGACCACUAAAACUUUACAGAAGUGUCAGAUUCUUGGAUCUUUCCAGAUUUUACCUUAUACCUUCUGGAUCUAUGUGUCUUACCAAGGCCUCUGCCAUACAAGCUGCCCUUUCUCAUUCUGCCCCAUCAGCACAUUACUGAUAUAUCACAGUGCUGUUCUGUAGAAUGUCCAGACAAUCCAGGUCUCUCAGACUUUAUUGCAAAGAGAUUGAAGAAGUUAACAUAGUCCUUGGACAAAACUGAAAAUAAAUAUUGUCUUUUCCACAUGAA
Marmota monax (woodchuck) is the source of this 3832-nucleotide long non-coding RNA. RefSeq lists it as uncharacterized. The record is from RefSeq and is a predicted model, not a curated record. Lineage: Eukaryota; Metazoa; Chordata; Mammalia; Rodentia; Sciuridae. The transcript is spliced from 3 exons.